Molecule: long non-coding RNA, 720 nt
Organism: Pan troglodytes (chimpanzee)
Lineage: Eukaryota; Metazoa; Chordata; Mammalia; Primates; Hominidae
Exons: 4
Source: RefSeq, a predicted model, not a curated record
GCCACCAUGCCUGGCUAAUUUUUGUAUUCUUUAGUAGAGAUGGGGUUUCACCAUAUUGGCCAGGCUUGUCUUGAACUCCUGACCUUGUGAUCCACCUGCCUCGGCCUCCCAAAGUACUGGGACUACACGCAUAAGCCACCGCAUCCAGCCUGGAUGAUAUCUUUGGGCCAUGAAUUCACCUGUGGACUGCCUUCCUCCAGACCUCUAUGAUUUAGGAUGUGGUUUAUGCCAGUUUCUCUCUCCCAGGAGACAGCCCACAUCACACAACAUUUCACUCAGCUGUGUCGCUGAGCACUGACAAACUCAAUUUACGAAAGGCAAGAGUGAGUUGACACCAUGCUGUGGCAGUUGUCCUGAUGGGAGGAAACGACUCAUUUCCUUCCAAGGUAGAAUCCACCUUCUCUGAGAAGCAUACUUGUGCACAAGAGUACUGAAGACAAGGAGGAACUGUACAGAAGAAGAUGCAGGAGGUCUGAAGGGAAGUCAGAGACAAAAGAAGGAAGGAAGCAAGCAAGCACUGCUCAUGGAAUGGUCUGACAGCCCCAGGCUCGAGAAUGUGUCUCUCCCAAGUACUCUGUCACCCUGGUAACCAUGGAGACCAUGACGAUCGAUUAGAUGCCAUCUGAUCUCAACCUUACAAAAAAAAAAGGCAGCAGAUGGCAACCAGGCCACUAGACCUGUCUCAAGAGAGACGAAGAGGAAGAGCGAGAAAGGGAAGGA